CUAUUCAUUUAGCUAUAAUUCGCUUAAGUUAAUAAAGUAAACCAAUAUUCCGGACUCAUUAUAUCCUACCAUUUCUAUAUGCUAGAGUUGUAUUUAGUGUAACACUAGCCCUUUCCCAUCUUGAAUUAUUACAGACAACUACUAAACAAUGUAUUAUAAAAUAUCCAAAUUGGAGUUCAUUCUGUAGCUCAAGUUAAGGUGCAAAAUAUUAGUAGCAGAAAUUAAGAACCAACGCUUGAUCUCAAAUAACACUUCAAUCCAUUAUUGGAAUAAUGCAUUACGUAACAGGAGUGAAUCAAUUAAAUUUUACUCCAUUAUCAUAAAAGUUCAACAAAUUGCACCAAUUAAGAGAGCAAUAACGAAACUUCAAUUUUUGAACUAAGUAAUCAACCUUUUCGACUAAACCCAUCCCAACCUUUAAGAAUCGAAGUGAUAAGCUGAGAGUAAAAACAAUAGACACCAUUAGCCAUAGCAGUCUUCUAGUCUCUAGAAAAACUUGCAUUAAACCAGCAAAUUCAACACCUAGUAAAACUUGAGUUUUCCAAACAACACUAAAGCUUAAGAAGCAAAAACAGAAAACAGAGGAAAUCGCUACUAGUUGAACGCACAAUCAAUCUGAAGUUAAGAAGUGCUAUUUUCAAGCAUAAUGUUCAUUAACAACUUCAAUACACAUGAGUCCAUUUCAAGAUCCACAAUAAAGCAGGCUUAAUAGCCUUGAACAAUACCAUUUAAAGGUUUAAAACAGUCCUUGAAGCAACUAUGCUCAAACAAACUCAAAUCCAAUACUUAAAACAGAACAAGUGACAUGAAUGAUUACACUUAAGAAGCUAAAAUAAAUAUAAAAAAAUGGACAUCAAGCCAAAAUAAGAUAAGGUCACAUAGCCAAUAGGGAACAGAGUGUUAGCAUUGAUCGGCUUCCUCAACUUGAAUUCAUAAACAACAUCAUAGUUUAGCCAGAACUUCAUUUCUCAUUCAUGGUGUGAAGGGAAUACCUGGAUACAGCAGUCAAAACAAAAGAAGAGAGAUGAUUAAGGGACGAAGCUUCAGCUCACAUCAGCAGUGUAACAAUGAAAACCAAUUUUAAAUCGAAAUGAUACACAGCAGGUCAAAACUAAUUUCACUAAGAUGUAAUCCAACAGAAUUCAAACCAGCCUUUCAUAACCCAAACUUAAACCUUUUUGAAUCCCACAAUGAGGAACUAUUGUUUUCAGACGUUUGAAAAAGAAUCAGAAAAUCACUGGAAUUCAUUGAAACAGUAGAAUUUUUUUGCCGUUUCUAUUUACUGAUUUUUUAUCUCUUUCAAAUCUGACUUGAGCUCUAAGUAACAAUGCCUUUAUAGGCAAGCUACUAGGGCAGCCUCAAAGAGAUCAAAAUUUUCACUUAAAACCUUCUGAAAUUUUCAUUUUAGCUUAGAAAUCCCUAGUGUAAACCUCAGAAUUUCAAAAUAGCCCCCACCACAGCUUCUAAGAAGCUUCCUAGUUCAGUUAUAUAAGAUUCCCCUACCUAUAUUCCCCAAUUUACCCUUACAACCCCUGAAAUUUACAUUGUACUCAAAUGGGCUAUGGGUCAAAUUGACCCUGGGUCGAAUCCAUUAGACAACCAGCCCAAAACUGGAUUGAAAGGUAUAAACCUCCAGCCCAAACACAAUCAAACCAAUGUUUCUGAAUUAACAUGAAACAAACAGAAACAAUUCGAGCCUCUUUUUUUCUUUAUCCAAUUAUUGAACUAACAUUAUUGACUGUUGAAACAGACUAUUUAAACCAACUAAUUAAAAACGAAAAGCCUCUUUAAACUAAUCAUGCAUAGGAAAAAAGGACGAUUUUAAAACACUAAGAAGUCCAAAAGAAGAGGAAGAAACAGAUGGCAAUAAAAGAAGAAAAAAUGAAAGAAAAGUAAAGAAAACCAGGGAAAUACCUAAAGGCACGGACAGACUUGGAACAGCUUAAGAGCCUCCGUCACUUUCUUGACAAGAACAGUCUUUAAUCGGGUGUUUUCGUGUGAAAACAUACGAUUAAAGGCCAUUAUGGCCUAGAACCGUCAAAAACCCCCAUUGGAUUUGGAUUUGUGGAACUAGGGUUUUUCUCUGAUUUGAGAUUCGAAUAGCUCCGGGGAGAUUCGAGAGAAGAGACUUCUGGAUUCGACAUAUGGGGGUCGUGGGGGUUUCAGGGUGUUAAUUUGGGAGUGAUUGGGAAAAGUCGAGUGUUGGUCUAAUUUUUGAUCUAAUAUUCGAGACGAACCAGUGGGAUUCGAACGACACCGGUUAGGGAUUUAGGAAGAGGAGAUGAAAGGGGUCUUGGGGUGUAAGCUUGGUGGUAGUUCACGGUGGCGCCGCCGGCUUGGAGCAUGGAAAAAGGGGGCAACAGGCUAGGGUUUAUUGGUGAGAGCCUCAGGGGAGGGCUGAACGGGAUGGAAUGAAGGGGGUGG
RNAcentral lists this long non-coding RNA (2424 nucleotides) under Nicotiana tabacum (common tobacco). RNAcentral describes it as "long non-coding RNA (NTAB_LNC010573)". The record is from RNAcentral. Lineage: Eukaryota; Viridiplantae; Streptophyta; Magnoliopsida; Solanales; Solanaceae.